CAGCAGCCACGGUAAUGCGAAGGGGGCUAGCGUUGCUCGGAAUGACUGGGCGUAAAGGGCGCGUAGGCGGUUUGCCAAGUUAGAUGUGAAAUUCCCGGGCUUAACCUGGGGACUGCAUUUGAUACUGGCAGGCUUGAGUGUGGAAGAGGGUCGUGGAAUUCCCAGUGUAGAGGUGAAAUUCGUAGAUAUUGGGAAGAACACCGGUGGCGAAGGCGGCGACCUGGUCCAUAACUGACGCUGAGGCGCGAAAGCGUGGGGAGCAAACAGGAUUAGAUACCCCCGUAGUCCCUGUCUCUUAUAC
Molecule: ribosomal RNA, 301 nt
Filed under: uncultured bacterium
Lineage: Bacteria
Description: partial 16S ribosomal RNA
Rfam family: Bacterial small subunit ribosomal RNA
Source: RNAcentral